Molecule: ribosomal RNA, 482 nt
Filed under: uncultured bacterium
Lineage: Bacteria
Description: partial 16S ribosomal RNA
Rfam family: Bacterial small subunit ribosomal RNA
Source: RNAcentral
AUUGAACGCUGGCGGCAUGCCUUACACAUGCAAGUCGAACGGCAACGCGCGCUUCGGUCUCGACGCGUGUCGAGCAGGGGAGUGUUACACCUCGGCACGUGCGCACGAGUGGGGUAACGAGGCGCAAGCUCCGCUUAUAUCCCACACACGCUCCGAGGGAGAACGGGGGGGCCCAAGGCGCCUCGCGGACUGGGCGGGCGAUGGCGGAUUAGCUAGUUGGUGGGGUAAAAGCUUACCAAGGCGACGAUCUGUAGCUGGUCUGAGAGGACGACCAGCCACACUGGGACUGAGACACGGCCCAGACUCCUACGGGAGGCAGCAGUGGGGAAUUUUGGACAAUGGGGGCAAGCCUGAUCCAGCCAUGCCGCGUGCGGGAAGAAGGCCUUCGGGUUGUAAACUGCUUUUGUUCGGGAAGAAAGGCUCUGUUCUAAUACAGCGGGGUGAUGACGGUACCGUAAGAAUAAGCACCGGCUAACUACGUG